CCUUAGGGCUCUGUGCUGAAACGCGAUAGCACGGAGACAGCUGGCUCAAUCGCCCGCCUGCAGCCCGUCCCUUCUCUUCCCACCGCAGACUGUCUGGGUUCCACCCACCAUGCUACCCUGCAGGCACAGGGGUGUGCCGAUCCACGGAAGGACGACAGGGCAGGAGCUUGCAUGAGAGCAGGUUAAGAUCAGCCCCAGCUCAUUUUCUGAGUGUCGUGUCCUCAUCCAUGAGUGUCUUCCUCGGCUCCUUUGGGGCACCUGAAAAUCAAGACGCAGUUGGGGAAAAGCCUGCAGGCAAGAUUCUGGUUGAGUAGAAGCUCCUGACAGGCAGGUUGAUUCCUUCCCCAUGGGGCACAGUUAAAUUCGACAAAGCUGCCCAGGGGUGAGGAAGCAGCUGGUUCUGGGCAAUGCCUUAAGGAAUAGAGCUCAAAACAGGGAUAAAAAUGACAGGGCAAAAUUCUUUAAAAGUCACUCCAAAAAAUAGGCCUCACCACUGCCUGCUGUUACUGUAGUCACUACAGCAAUAUGUGGGCCUUAAAAGUCUCUUUACUCACUGUCCCUUUAGUUAGGC
RNAcentral lists this long non-coding RNA (571 nucleotides) under Fukomys damarensis (Damara mole-rat). RNAcentral describes it as "lncRNA (ENSFDAG00000031510.1)". Lineage: Eukaryota; Metazoa; Chordata; Mammalia; Rodentia; Bathyergidae. The record is from RNAcentral.